AUUGAACGCUGGCGGCAUGCUUUACACAUGCAAGUCGAACGGUAACAGGCCGCAAGGUGCUGACGAGUGGCGAACGGGUGAGUAAUGCAUCGGAACGUGCCCAGUCGUGGGGGAUAACGCAGCGAAAGCUGCGCUAAUACCGCAUACGAUCUAUGAAUGAAAGCGGGGGACCGUAAGGCCUCGCGCGAUUGGAGCGGCCGAUGUCAGAUUAGGUAGGUGGUGGGGUAAAGGCUCACCAAGCCAACGAUCUGUAGCUGGUCUGAGAGGACGACCAGCGACACUGGGACAGAGACACGGCCCAGACUCCGACGGGAGGCAGCAGUGGGGAAUUUUAGACGAUGCGCGCAAGCCUGAUCCAGCAAUGCCGCGUGCAGGAAGAAGGCCUUCGGGUUGUAAACUGCUUUUGUACGGAACGAAAAGGCUCUGGAUUAUACCUGGGGCUCAUGACGGUACCGUAAGAAUAAGCACCGGCUAACUACGUGCCAGCAGCCGCGGUAA
RNAcentral lists this ribosomal RNA (498 nucleotides) under uncultured bacterium. RNAcentral's name for it is "partial 16S ribosomal RNA". It matches the Rfam family "Bacterial small subunit ribosomal RNA", at positions 29 to 523 of the family's 1533-position model. The record is from RNAcentral.